RNAcentral lists this ribosomal RNA (497 nucleotides) under uncultured bacterium. RNAcentral's name for it is "partial 16S ribosomal RNA". It matches the Rfam family "Bacterial small subunit ribosomal RNA", at positions 28 to 507 of the family's 1533-position model. The record is from RNAcentral.
GAUGAACGCUGGCGGCGUGCCUAAUACAUGCAAGUCGAGCGAACAGACGAGGAGCUUGCUCCUCUGACGUUAGCGGCGGACGGGUGAGUAACACGUGGAUAACCUACCUAUAAGACUGGGAUAACUUCGGGAAACCGGAGCUAAUACCGGAUAAUAUAUUGAACCGCAUGGUUCAAUAGUGAAAGACGGUUUUGCUGUCACUUAUAGAUGGAUCCGCGCCGCAUUAGCUAGUUGGUAAGGUAACGGCUUACCACGGCAACGAUGCGUAGCCGACCUGAGAGGGUGAUCGGCCACCCUGGAACUGGGCCACGGUCCAGGCUACUACGGGAGGGCGCAGUAGGGAAUCUUCCGCAAAGGGCGGAAGCCUUACGGAGCAACGCCACGUGAGUUAUAAAAGUCUUCGGAUCGUAAAACUCUGUUAUUAGGGAAGAACCAAUGUGUAAGUAACUAUGCACGUCUUGACGGUACCUAAUCAGAAAGCCACGGCUAACUACGUG